This 440-nucleotide ribosomal RNA is filed under the name uncultured bacterium. RNAcentral's name for it is "bacterial SSU rRNA". It matches the Rfam family "Bacterial small subunit ribosomal RNA", at positions 338 to 770 of the family's 1533-position model. The record is from RNAcentral.
CCUACGGGAGGCAGCAGUGGGGAAUCUUGCGCAAUGCGCGAAAGCGUGACGCAGCAACGCCGCGUGGGGGAAGAAGGCCUUCGGGUUGUAAACCUCUUUCAGUUGGGACGAAGCUUCAGCGGUGAAUAGCCGUAUGGAGUGACGGUACCUUCACAAGAAGCCCCGGCUAACUACGUGCCAGCAGCCGCGGUAAUACGUAGGGGGCAAGCGUUGUCCGGAAUCAUUGGGCGUAAAGCGCGUGUAGGCGGCUCGGUAAGUCCGCUCUGAAAGUCCAGGGCUCAACCCUGGGAUGCGGGUGGAUACUGCCGAGCUCGAGUCCGGAAGAGGCGAGUGGAAUUCCUGGUGUAGCGGUGAAAUGCGCAGAUAUCAGGAGGAACACCGAUGGCGAAGGCAGCUCGCUGGGACGUGACUGACGCUGAGACGCGAAAGCGUGGGGAGCA